GCUGGCGUAGCUCAAUGGUAGAGCAGCGCAUUCGUAAUGCGCAGGUUAGCGGUUCAAGUCCGCUCGCCAGCU
Molecule: transfer RNA, 72 nt
Filed under: Caldifarciminota bacterium
Lineage: Bacteria; Pseudomonadati; Caldifarciminota
Also listed under: 1 other name
Description: tRNA-Thr
Rfam family: tRNA
About the family: Transfer RNA (tRNA) molecules are approximately 80 nucleotides in length. Their secondary structure includes four short double-helical elements and three loops (D, anti-codon, and T loops). Further hydrogen bonds mediate the characteristic L-shaped molecular structure. tRNAs have two regions of fundamental functional importance: the anti-codon, which is responsible for specific mRNA codon recognition, and the 3' end, to which the tRNAs corresponding amino acid is attached (by aminoacyl-tRNA synthetases). tRNAs cope with the degeneracy of the genetic code in two manners: having more than one tRNA (with a specific anti-codon) for a particular amino acid; and 'wobble' base-pairing, i.e. permitting non-standard base-pairing at the 3rd anti-codon position.
Source: RNAcentral